GAGCUGAAGCCAGUCGAAGAUACCAGCUGGCUGCAACUGUUUAUUAAAAACACAGCACUGUGCAAACACGAAAGUGGACGUAUACGGUGUGACGCCUGCCCGGUGCUGGAAGGUUAAUUGAUGGGGUUAGCCGUAAGGCGAAGCUCCUGAUCGAAGCCCCAGUAAACGGCGGCCGUAACUAUAACGGUCCUAAGGUAGCGAAAUUCCUUGUCGGGUAAGUUCCGACCUGCACGAAUGGCGUAAUGAUGGCCAGGCUGUCUCCACCCGAGACUCAGUGAAAUUGAACUCGCUGUGAAGAUGCAGUGUACCCGCGGCAAGACGGAAAGACCCCGUGAACCUUUACUAUAGCUUGACACUGAACAUUGAGCCUUGAUGUGUAGGAUAGGUGGGAGGCUUUGAAGUGUGGACGCCAGUCUGCAUGGAGCCAACCUUGAAAUACCACCCUUUAACGUUUGAUGUUCUAACCUAGGCCCAUAAACUGGGUCGGGGACCGUGUCUGGUGGGUAGUUUGACUGGGGCGGUCUCCUCCUAAAGAGUAACGGAGGAGCACGAAGGUUGGCUAAGCAUGGUCGGACAUCAUGCGGUUAGUGCAAAGGCAUAAGCCAGCUUGACUGCGAGAGUGACGGCUCGAGCAGGUACGAAAGUAGGUCUUAGUGAUCCGGUGGUUCUGAAUGGAAGGGCCAUCGCUCAACGGAUAAAAGGUACUCCGGGGAUAACAGGCUGAUACCGCCCAAGAGUUCAUAUCGACGGCGGUGUUUGGCACCUCGAUGUCGGCUCAUCACAUCCUGGGGCUGAAGUAGGUCCCAAGGGUAUGGCUGUUCGCCAUUUAAAGUGGUACGCGAGCUGGGUUUAGAACGUCGUGAGACAGUUCGGUCCCUAUCUGCCGUGGGCGUUGGAAGAUUGAGAGGGGUUGCUCCUAGUACGAGAGGACCGGAGUGAACGCACCACUGGUGUUCGGGUUGUCAUGCCAAUGGCAUUGCCCGGUAGCUAAGUGCGGAAGAGAUAACCGCUGAAAGCAUCUAAGCGGGAAACUUGCCUCGAGAUGAGUCUUCCCUGUCGCUUUAAG
Molecule: ribosomal RNA, 1066 nt
Filed under: Proteus mirabilis
Lineage: Bacteria; Pseudomonadati; Pseudomonadota; Gammaproteobacteria; Enterobacterales; Morganellaceae
Description: partial 23S ribosomal RNA
Rfam family: Bacterial large subunit ribosomal RNA
Source: RNAcentral